GACGAACGCUGGCGGCGUGCUUAACACAUGCAAGUCGAACGGAAAGGCCCUGCUUUUGUGGGGUGCUCGAGUGGCGAACGGGUGAGUAACACGUGAGUAACCUGCACUUGACUUUGGGAUAACUUCAGGAAACUGGGGCUAAUACCGGAUAGGAGCUCCUGCUGCAUGGUGGGGGUUGGAAAGUUUCGGCGGUUGGGGAUGGACUCGCGGCUUAUCAGCUUGUUGGUGGGGUAGUGGCUUACCAAGGCUUUGACGGGGAGCCGGCCUGUAAGGGUGACCGGCAGACUGGGGGAUAGAGGGACGCCCAGAAGCCUCAAGGGGGACAAAAGGGGGAAAAAUUGAAGAGGGGGCAGAAACAGAAAGAUCAGCCCCCGCGGGCGGAAGAAGGUCUGUGGGGUGGAAAACCGUUUCCACCUGAAAGAAAGGGGGAGUAACGGUAUGGGGAAAAUAAGCCGCGGAAAACUACGUG
RNAcentral lists this ribosomal RNA (469 nucleotides) under uncultured bacterium. RNAcentral's name for it is "partial 16S ribosomal RNA". It matches the Rfam family "Bacterial small subunit ribosomal RNA", at positions 28 to 507 of the family's 1533-position model. The record is from RNAcentral.